AUAAGCGUGGGGAGGCCCGAACCCGUUGUUGUAUCAAUAACAUGGGAUGAGGUGUGGUUAGAGGUGAUAUGCCUAACGAACUCGGAGAUAGCUGGUUCUCCUCGAAAUAUAUCUAAGUAUAGCCUGAAAAUUUUAGUUGCAGGGGUAGAGCACUGAAUGGAUUCUGGUCGAGCAAUCGGUCAGGUUCAAAUAAACUCCGAAUACUGCAAUGUUAAUUUCAGAGUCAGUCCGAUCCGGCUAAGCGGAGCGGGCCUGAGGGAAACAUCCCAGACCAACAGCUAAGGUCCCUAAAUGUCCUGCAUUUUGCAGGGUCUUAAGUCUUAAUUUAUUAAGGCUCAGGAUAAGUUAAGUGUUAAAGGUAGUCUUUAUCCUUAGACAGCCAGGAAGUUGGCUUAGAAGCAGCCAUCUUUUAAAGAUAGCGUAACAGCUCACUGGUCUAUUACGGGUAAAGGCGCCGACAAUUAAUCGGGGCUUAAACUUACUACCGAAGCUUUGGAUUUGGAUCGAGAAAUCGAUUCAAGUGGUAGAGGAGCGUUCUAUAUGGAGUGAAUCUCCGUCGUAAGGCGGGGUGGACUGUAUAGAAGUGAGAAUGCCGGUAUGAGUAGCGUAUUCCCGUGAGAAACGGGAUCGCCGAAUGCCCAAGGUUUCCCACGCAAUGUUAAUCAACGUGGGGUUAAUCGGUCCUAAGGUGAGGCCGUAUGGCGUAGCCGAUGGAUAACAGGUCAAAAUUCCUGUAUUGGAGUUAUUCUGACAAGCUCGGACAAGUUUCUUUUAGAAAUUUGUUUGAGGCUUACAAGGGUUGACGAAGUGGGAAAAAUCUUCCCCGUCAUUGGCGGGGUUAAGUAACAAGGUAGUGGAGGUUGGCAAAUCCGCCUCUAAGUCAAGAUUUUUGACUUAGUCUGAUGGAGCAAUCUGUCAGACUACAAAAUCGAGUUACGAUGAGGUAACAAGAUAUUUUUCUGUUUCCAAGAAAAUGCUCGUGUAAGAGAAUAAUUUUAACCGUACCGUAAACCGACACAGGUGGGCGAGUUGAGUAUACAAAGGCGAUCGGGAGAACUAUCCUUAAGGAACUCGGCAACGAAAGCUGGACGUAACCUUUGGGAGAUGUCCUGUCCCGCUGCAAAGCGGGAUUACAAUAAAAGACGCUAAGCGACUGUUUAACAAAAACACAGGUCCCUGCUAAAUCGAAAGAUGAUGUAUAGGGGCUGACACCUGCCCAGUGCCAGUAAUUUACUGUCUCAAGUGACUUCCACCGCAAGGUGGGAUGAGCCUGGGGCCUAAGAUCUGGUGAACGGCAGCAGUAACUAUGAAGAAUAUUGUAGUUGUAAAACCGAGCUAUAUGCUGGAAUAUCUGUGUAUCUUGAGCUAGUUGACUUUUGGUUUAAUUUCGGGUAAUACUAAAAUUAAUGCCUAAUUCA
RNAcentral lists this ribosomal RNA (1418 nucleotides) under Patescibacteria group bacterium. RNAcentral's name for it is "partial 23S ribosomal RNA". It matches the Rfam family "Bacterial large subunit ribosomal RNA", at positions 758 to 1945 of the family's 2925-position model. The record is from RNAcentral.